GGGCCCAUAGCUCAGUCGGUAGAGCAACUGACUUUUAAUCAGUAGGUCGCUGGUUCGAAUCCAGCUGGGCUCACCA
This 76-nucleotide transfer RNA is filed under the name Bradyrhizobium sp. RNAcentral's name for it is "tRNA-Lys". It matches the Rfam family "tRNA". From Rfam's summary of the family: Transfer RNA (tRNA) molecules are approximately 80 nucleotides in length. Their secondary structure includes four short double-helical elements and three loops (D, anti-codon, and T loops). The record is from RNAcentral. Lineage: Bacteria; Pseudomonadati; Pseudomonadota; Alphaproteobacteria; Hyphomicrobiales; Nitrobacteraceae. RNAcentral also lists the same sequence under 32 other names.